RNA transcript from Dermacentor albipictus, 4007 nucleotides. It is a transcript of the gene named serine/arginine-rich splicing factor 2-like, with no coding region annotated. The record is from RefSeq and is a predicted model, not a curated record. NCBI's taxonomy places the organism in Eukaryota, Metazoa, Arthropoda, Arachnida, Ixodida, Ixodidae.
UGUGUUCGGCGAACGUAGGCGACGCCAUCGUUCGUGCUGCUCUGACGAAGGCGGCCUCGAUUGCGUUUCUUUCACGGCUUUUCUCGCCACCGUCUGCAAGCUUGAAGCAGAGUUGCACCCGUAAUCAGGGACGCGGUUCGACCGCGCACCGAGACUUGGCACCAUGAGUUACGGCCGGGCCCCACCGACGAUCGACGGGAUGUCCUCCCUGAAGGUCGACAACCUGACGUACCGCACCACGCCGGAGGACCUCAAGCGCGUGUUCGAGAGGUACGGCGACGUCGGGGACGUCUACAUCCCGCGUCACCCCUACACCAGGGAGAGCCGCGGGUUCGCAUUCGUUCGUUUCUACGACAAGCGCGACUGCGAGGACGCCAUGGACGCGCUUGACGGCUACAUCAUGGACGGCCGGGAGCUGCGGGUCCAAAUGGCGCGCUACGGUAGGCCUACCGACCCGUAUCGCCAGUCGUCCUCGUCUCGCUACGGCACGUCGAGUCGCCGGUCCCGCUCACGAUCGCGGAGCCGCGGCCGCCGAUCUAGGAGCCGCAGGCGGUCACGGUCUAGGUCGCGCCGCCGUUCCCGGAGCCGUUCCCGGUCACGCCGACGCCGUUCAAGGUCCCGCUCCAAGAGAUCCCGGAGCCGAUCCAGGGAUCGCCGGCGAUCCAGAAGUAGGUCCAGGAAGAGCCGUAGCAGAAGUCGACGAAAGAGCCGCAGUCGUAGUAGGCGCAAGAGCCGCAGCAAGUCUAGGGACCGUAGCGUCUCCCGACGUCGUGAGGCAAAGAGGAGUCGAUCAAAAUCGAGGGGCCGCAGCCGCUCAAAGUCGCGCGGUCGUAGUGUGUCAAAGCAUCGUAGUCGCUCAAAGUCCAAGGACCGCAGUCGAAGCCGACACCGCAGCCGCUCAAAGACCAAGGAGCGAAGCCUGAGCAAGCACCGCAGCCGCUCAAAGUCCAAGGAGCACAGUAGAAGCAAGAGACGUAGCCAGUCCAAGUCAAAGGAGCGGAGCCGAAGCAAGCAUCGAAGCCGAUCGGAGUCCAAGGAAAGGAGCCGGAGCAAGUCUCACAGAAGCCGGAGCCGAAGCCGCAAGGAGAGCGAGCCGCGGGAUCAGAGCCACAGUCCGUCAGUGAACGGAGACUCCCGCAUGCGGAGUGCAUCGCGCAGCCCACGAGAGAAGGAGGCCCGAGAGGACUCGCGUUCACGGUCACGCAGUCCAAGGCAGAGUGGCAGCCCCGCACCGGGAGAGUCCGAUGGGGCAGCCAGGGAGAAGUCCAGAAGCAGGGACCGGUCACGGUCCAAAUCGCAGGACUCCAACUGAGGCACGUGAGAGUCCUCGCAGUCUGUUGAGGGUAUUGCACCCAAGCCAGGGUGUUCAUUGGAACAUUGUUUAUUCUUUCAUUUCAUGUGUUGUGUGCACCUUUUGUAAAAAGAUGUACUUGUUCCAGCAACUUUCUCUGGAUGAGAAUUUCUAUCACCCUUUAGCGGUAGUAGACGUAAAUCCAUGCAGUUUUCUGUAGCUUUGUGGAAGGCUUGAUUGGCAGUUUCCAGUCGAUGUAAGAUUGGUCUUUUCACACCUAAUGUGCAGGUGGCUUCUCAUUUUAGUGUUAUGCAUUGGCUGUGCAGGACUGAGCCGAAAAACUAACACCCGAGAGAUUUAUGUCAUCUUUGCUUUGUCACAUAACACUGUAAAUGAAACUUCUUUUUAAUUACCAUUGUUUUCUGAUUAAAACCUGCUUGUGUGUUUCACAUUAUUGCUUUAAUCAUUUUUAAAUAUGGCAUGGAUAUAUACCUCUUUUCAGCAGUGUGAGGUUCAGCACUGUUACUGCACUUUUUUCCUUCUGCAUUGUAUAGUUGGUACUACAGAGUGUUCAUUACGUCUGGGCUCAAGCACAGCCCAGCAUUUCACCCGUCACAACAUUUUUGACCUGUUGCAGUUUCAGAAGGAACUGUAUGGUGCUAAGGUGUUUGUCACAGUUGCGUUGCCUCUACCUCUCAUUCUGUGUUGUGUGGCUGGCAGUGUUUAACGCUGAAAUGUAGUGGCACGUGUGUCGUGUUCAUCUUUGACUGUCAUAAACUUGACGAGGGCUAAUGAGGCACAAAAUGCCACAAUGGCUUAUGGUCCCCUUUCACAUUGUAGUGUUCAUGCAGCCUGAUCUUGGAAGUUGGUUGUGUAAAGGGCGUCAUUGUUAAGAGAGCCAUGUAUAAAUAGUUCUUCAGGCUUAAAUGUUGCUUCUUUUAUGUGGCCUUUUCAGACGGAAAUUGGAUGUUGUAGUUUUUUUUUCUUUUCCAUGGCAGGAUGCCGUACUUGCCUGUUUAAUCUGUAAUGAAUGUUUAGUGCACAUUGUCUGCAGCAGUUCUAGACAAAUGCUGCUUUUCCGGCUUCAGAAACAGAGGCAUAGUCUCUCAUCGCAGAGGUAGACAGCUCCCCAAUGUACUGUCUGCAACAGCUAUUACGCUCUUCUAGGACUGUGCCACCAUUCCUCAUGCUGGAAAGAAAAUUGCAUUUCCAACCUUCUAUAACUAGAUUCUACAUCCACAGACAAGCAGGAUAUGGUGUUGAAAACUAGCCGCAACAUACAGGAAGCGGCAGAGCACUUUAGCCGGAGGAUCCAUUUAUGCAGGGCUCUCUGUCGAUUCGACAUUAUAUAAGUGCACAAAUGCAGUUGAUGUAUCGCUCCUUUCAGCCGAUGUAAGUAAAUGUAGCCUGCGGUGAUGCAGGCCCACUGCCCUGUAUGAAAUAGUGCAUUGGGUUGUUCGGGACGUGCUUUCCCCCACUGGGGCAAAGGAGCGCCUCUUGGCUGACUCGUGUUGUGGUUGUGCCCCCUGUCAUGCCUGCAGGCGCUGUGAGCUGCAGGAGCUGUGAGGGUGUUGGUAAGGCGGUGCUUGAUCGUACGCUGAGUUGCUGCUGCUGCCGUGGCUGGUUGCAGCCUGUGCCGAGUUCGGGCGGAGAUGUGCUGUUGGGCUACACGUCGUGUUUGCGAUCCUCCUUUUCUUUUUCUUUCCUCCUCCACCUCCUUCGUUCUCCUGCAGACCCCUGCCCUGUUCUCUCAGACCUUGACAAAACGCUGGUUUCUGUGGCUUGUUUUGACAGCGGCUCGUGGCCAUGGCAAGAAUGUGCAGACUUAAGGAACUCUGGACAAGUAGUAGCAUAGUCUAGUUUUGCAUAGCUUGCAUACAAAAUUGGGCUGCUGCCUUGGAAUAGAUGAGUACGUCUGAGGUUACGGUGCACUGAAGUGCAAGUUGUAUGUGACGUAUAGUAGCAGGGCAAAAAGCUGUUUGGCCAUUGGAAGCAGGUUAUUGUUAGUAAGAUGAGCUAAUUUUGUGUUCAUACUUUUAAAUGACAGUGGAAGUCUGGUCUGAUUUAGGGCAAGCAUAGGAUAGUAUAGACUUGCAUUAUUGGAGCCUACUCAGCAUCUUGGAUAAAAUACUGGCACAAACGGCAAGAAACGACAGGUUAUUGGAAGAGCUGGUUUACCUUAAAAGUAAUGUAGGUCAGCUUAUUAGGCAUAUAAUAAUGACAUUUUUACGCUGCUAGUUAUAACAAACGAGGUUACUUGUAGCCUUCCUGGCUUUCGCCACUGAAACUUCAGCGAAGUGUUCCAGUUUGCGGCCGGCAGAAGGCGGCACUUGCAGACUGCUGGUGUGGACGGAGCGUCCCGCGGUUGCUGUCCAGCCAGCGCCGGGCUUGCCGUGGUGCGGUGCGGGAGCGUUGGUUGGCUCGUGCCUGCUGUUGGAGUUGCGGCGGCGGUUGAGCGUGCCUGCUGCGCAGUUGUCCGUGCCCGCGGUGGGGGACGCAGGCCCGGUUUUUGGUUUGUUUCAUUCCACACGUUUCUCCAGUGCAGUUCAAAGUAUGCAACUUUUUUUUUUUUUUCUUCAGAGCAUACACGGGCAGUAUGUGCUGUCUUGCACGCUGCUGGCGAUGUAUCGCGACUAGCAUUGCACGAGGCAUGUGCAGUAGUGCCUGUAGUUUGUGACUGCGGUUCUAGGUAUCCAAUAAAGCUGUAGAAAAAGCG